This 255-nucleotide unclassified non-coding RNA is filed under the name Hevea brasiliensis (rubber tree). Lineage: Eukaryota; Viridiplantae; Streptophyta; Magnoliopsida; Malpighiales; Euphorbiaceae. The record is from RNAcentral.
GUUGAAAAGGAAUUUGAAGAGGCUGCUCCUAGCCUGGACAUGAUCUGUGUUUAUGGGGGGACACCAAUUUCACGCCAAAUGAGGCAGCUUGACUACGGCAUUGAUAUUGCUGUUGGAACACCUGGUCGCUUGAUUGAUCUUCUCAAUAGGGGUUCUCUAAAUUUAUCAGAAGUCAAGUUUGUUGUUCUCGAUGAAGCAGACCAGAUGCUUCAAGUAGGCUUUCAAGAGGAUGUGGAGAAGAUCUUGGAGAGGUUG